Gasterosteus aculeatus aculeatus (three-spined stickleback) is the source of this 1751-nucleotide long non-coding RNA. Lineage: Eukaryota; Metazoa; Chordata; Actinopteri; Perciformes; Gasterosteidae. The record is from Ensembl.
UUGACUGAGAUGAGUUCAAAAUGCAUAAAAAACUAGCCAGCAAAUCGCAUGGAAUCCCCCAAAAAAUCAAUUAAAAAAGACGUAACGGUUGAGACCGCGGAUAAUUUAUUCUGUGGAAGACGUGACUGUCCAUCCAGAUUGAGACAUUUCUCUCAAAAGUCUUCCACGUUUGUAUAACAGUUCACGGUGAACCGCAAAUAUGGCCAAAAAGUUUCACUGUUUCGUCUUUUCAAUUCAAGAUUAGAAAGGAUUCCCUUCAUCCUUUCUGCAGUAUCCAAGGCUGUUGUUUGUCCCAUGUUUUAUUUUCCCCCGACAUGAAUGCCUUUUGUUCGCCCACACGUAGGUACAACCUUGGAUGGAAACUGUUCCAAAUUGCCUGUAAAUUGAGGGUUUGAGUGUAAACUCACCUAUCUGAAGCCUGCGAGCCUCUGCGAGGUGAAUUCUAUCUGAAAUGAAGAAAAAGCAUCUGUAGGAAAGAAUCAUUGAUUAGCUGUCAAAUUCGUAUGAGUGUUGUGUUGUUGUGGUCCGGCCCAAGUUCGGCUCCCGUAGUCAAGUUGUAUCGAGACACUUGAGAAAAUAACUACAAAAUAGUGCUGUGAAGAAUAAUUGGGUGGAGAAUCGAGAGAGUGAGUGACACACACGCGAACCCCCUAACACACACACACACACACAGACACACACACACACACACACACACACAACUUAAAUCAUCAUUGGAAAAUCAUUAGAAAUCUGGCCGCGCUGAGGGGCACAGAUUGAGGGACAAACCCCAUUCAAGUACACACAAAGACAGGCGUGCACACACACACUAACACACUCACAGAGAGGCAGCCGGGUGGAAGGGAACAUGGGCGGUUCCAUCCACACACACACACACACACACACACACACACACACACACACACACAAGAACAGCUCGAACCUCACAAACAACCCUCCAUACAAACCCGUCCGCCCACCUCCGUCGACAUUUAUUGCGCCUUCUGUGUGAAUGUAUUUCAGUUUUAUUCACAUGUCAGCCAUUGUGUGUGUGUGUGUGUGUGUGUGUGUGUGUGUGUGUGUGUCGCUGUGAAUGAGAGCCCCAUUAGUGAUUCAUUUGUGUGUAGUUAACCAUUGUGGAGAGAAGGUAACAUUUUAUUUGUCUGAACCCAACCCUGACCAUAUGGUGAUACCUUGCUCGCUCCUCCUCCUCCUCCUCCUCCUCUCUGCGUUCCUCCUCCUCCUCCUCCUCCUCUCUGCGUUCCUCCUCUUCCUCCUCCUCCUCUCUGUGUUCCUUCUCUUCCUCCUCCUCCUCCUCCUCCUCCUCCUCUGGUUCCCCUUGUGGACUGAAGUCAACUCGUUGCUCCCUUCCUGUCCCUCCCCCACAGCUCAUUUGUUCUCCCCUCUCAUGUGCACUUUCUGCUAAGAAGUUGCCUUCUUCCUUUAGCUGACGUUUCGGACGUCAGCUUGUGUGUGUGUGUGUGCGUGCGUGCGUGUGUCUGCGUGUGUGUGUCUGCGUGUGCGUGUGUGUGUUCUAGGUCGAUGGGGACAGGCAUCCUUGGCUGUCAGCUGCUAUCAGCCCUCACGUGUGCCAGUAAUGUUGUGUAUUGUCCGAACACAUCACUAGAGGAGCAUCUGAGACGUCCAUUAAAGUUCAAAGCAAUUUAUCACUAUCACCCUCCUCCUCCUCAACAUCUCCCAUCAUCCCUCAACCCCCUCCCCCUCCUCCCCUCCGUGCUGUCACCAUCCUCCCAUCUUCUCUCCUCCGUCCA